Oncorhynchus nerka (sockeye salmon) is the source of this 323-nucleotide long non-coding RNA. RefSeq lists it as uncharacterized. The record is from RefSeq and is a predicted model, not a curated record. The transcript has 3 exons. NCBI's taxonomy places the organism in Eukaryota, Metazoa, Chordata, Actinopteri, Salmoniformes, Salmonidae.
CCGUAGCAGAACCCACACAACCGUUCCUACACACACGGAUGGAGAACGGGAGCUGGCUUGGCGGUGAUGUGUUUAGACUUUGUGCUCUAUUUAUCUAUUUCUUAGGUCAUUUCUACCGGGAGAAAAUCUAAGUCUUCCAUGAUGAAACUUGUGUUUGUUUUUGCUGUGGUUGCGUAUUUCUUUGCAGAAAAUCUAUCACUUCCCGUUGGAGAAGAACGACAGCGAGAGGAUGUGGUAACACGGUGCUUGGUUGAGGUCCUGUCCAAGGCGUUGACCAAACCUGACUCUCGCCCUCUGGAUCAGGAAUGUAAAGAUAUUCUCAA